Long non-coding RNA from Oncorhynchus kisutch (coho salmon), 1171 nucleotides. RefSeq lists it as uncharacterized. The record is from RefSeq and is a predicted model, not a curated record. The transcript has 3 exons. Lineage: Eukaryota; Metazoa; Chordata; Actinopteri; Salmoniformes; Salmonidae.
UGGGAUUCCUUUAUGAGGUGCAACCAAAACAGCUGUUUGACAUAGCAACAGGGAUAUUCUGGCAGGCUGUCGAGAAUUAGUUCUUGAAUACUGUUGUGGUUUUGAUCACUAAAAUGGCUGUGACUUUUGGACUCUCUUUGAGUGUUUCUUGGAUUUGUUGCCUGCUAAUUGGAGGGAUAACUUGUUUUACACUUAAAGGUAACGCUCAUGGGCAUCCUGCCUACACUGGACCUGAACCGACUGGAUCCUAUGCCCAAGCAAGUGUGGUGUCUGGUCCAAAUGUUAAAGCUACUGGCCACAAUGCCACGUGAGCGGAAGCUACUGGCCACAAUGCCACGUGAGCGGAAGCUACUGGCCACAAUGCCACGUGAGCGGAAGCUACUGGCCACAAUGCCACGUGAGCGGAAGCUACUGGCCACAAUGCCACGUCAGCGGAAGCUACUGGCCACAAUGCCACGACAGCGGAAGCAACUGGCCACAAAGCCACGUCAGCGGAAGCUACUGGCCACAAUGCCACGUCAAGUGUGAAGUCCGGCCCCUCAGCAGAAGCUUCAGGCCCCGGCGCCUCAGCAGAAGCUUCAGGCCCCGGCGCCUCAGCAGAAGCUUCAGGCCCCGGCGCCUCAGCAGAAGCUUCAGGCCCCGGCGCCUCAGCAGAAGCUUCAGGCCCCGGCGCCUCAGCAGAAGCUUCAGGCGCCUCAGCGGAAGCUUCAGGCGCCUCAGCGGAAGCUUCAGGCCACUCAGCAGGAGCUUCAGGCCACUCAGCAGAAGCGUCCGGCCCCGGCACCUCAGCAGAAGCGACAAGCCUUGAACAGACGGCCCGACCACUCAACUAGGGAGAUCAUAGUUUGGUUUGGCCAACUCCUUAAUCGUCUUAUCCCUGUUACCCUUUUCUGCUAGAGGCACAGUAAAGGUAACUGAGGUGGGGAAAUGUGCGAACUAAUGCGCUUGUUUGAAAUGAGGAUCUCCUUCACUUGUACAUCGUCAUGCAAAUUGUAUACAGAGGUGGAUGAUACAAUGUUAUGAAUCGUUUUUAUAAACAUACGACUAAAUUGACUUCUGAUGUAGCGAUAUUGCAGACACACUUUUAGGUUCUACGGUUAUGCUUUUGAUUUAGCCUGGUGUUCCUGCUACUCUUGCAUGAUUUGCUCAAUAAACCAUUUGACUUUCAAAA